GACGAACGCUGGCGGCGGGCUUAACACAUGCAAGUCGAACGGAAAGACCCUGCUGUUGUGGGGUUCUCGAGUGGCGAACGGGUGAGUAACACGUGAGUAGCCUGCCCUUGACUUUGGGAUAACUUCAGGUAACUGGGGCUAAUACCGGAUAGGAGCUCCUGCUGCAUGGUGGGGGUUGGAAAGUUUCGGCGUGUGGGGAUGUACUCGCGGCUUAUCAGCUUUUUGGUGGGGUAGUGGCUUACCAAGGCUUUGACGGGUAGCCGUCCUGAGAGGGUGACCGGCCACAUUGCGACUGAGAUACGGACCAGACUGCUAUGGGAGGCAGUAGUGGGGAAUAUUGCACAAUGGGCGGAAGCCUGAUGCAGAAACGCCGCGUGCGGGAUGAAGGCCUUCGGGUUGUAAACCGAUUUCGCCUGUGACGAAGCGUGAGUGACGGUAAUGGGUAAAGAAGCACCGGCUAACUACGUG
RNAcentral lists this ribosomal RNA (468 nucleotides) under uncultured bacterium. RNAcentral describes it as "partial 16S ribosomal RNA". It matches the Rfam family "Bacterial small subunit ribosomal RNA", at positions 28 to 507 of the family's 1533-position model. The record is from RNAcentral.